RNA transcript from Fragaria vesca subsp. vesca, 1001 nucleotides. RefSeq lists it as uncharacterized. The transcript has 3 exons. NCBI's taxonomy places the organism in Eukaryota, Viridiplantae, Streptophyta, Magnoliopsida, Rosales, Rosaceae. The record is from RefSeq and is a predicted model, not a curated record.
GGGAGCUGGUUCCAGACACCAUCACCUAUACCACUCUUAUUGACGGAUUUUGCAAAGUGGGGAGGAUGCAAGAUGCCCAAAAGUUGUUCUCUGAGAUGCAUUGUGGUGGCCAACUUCCAAAUGUUCAAACUUACGCUGUUUUACUUGAUGGCCUUUGUAACAACCAACAACUUUCUACGGCACUGGAACUGCUUAGAGAGAUGGAAGGGAAGAAGUUGGAACUAGAUAUUGUAACCUACAACAUUAUCAUUGAAGGUUUGUGCAAAGCUGGAGAAAUGGAUUCUGCAAUAAAUGUCUUCUCUGGUUUGUCAUCAAAGCAUAUUCAACCUGAUGUUUGGACAUAUACCAUAAUGAUCAGUGGACUUUGUGAAGGUGGCCUUUUAAGUGAAGCUGAAAAGUUGUUGACAGAAAUGGAGGAGAAAGGCUGUUCUCCAGAUGAUUGUACCUAUAACACAAUCAUCCAAGGUUUUUUCAAUAACAAUGAGUCGUCAAGGGCUACGGGACUUAUUCUAGAAAUGUGUGAGAGGGGUUUCUCUGCAGAUGCAUCGACUAUGGAGUUGAUUGCUGAUUUAUUGUUGAAGGGUACAGUGGAUCCUGUAUUAUUAGCAUGGCUUAAAGAUACAGUCUGAUGCUGCAGUGCUGCUCCUUUGGCAACCUUGGAUGUUCUGUCAAUCCUGUUUAUUAUCCGGAUGGAGACCACCAUGUUGAUUUACGAAAUGAGGGCCAGCAUCAAAGAAUUUUAUGGGGUGAUAUUUCCUUCUUUGUUGCAACUUCAAAAGGGCAUCACUGAUAUGAAGCACACAGGGCAGAAAAGAGGUUUUGUACCAUCAGAUUCAGAAGAAAGGAUGAGUUGGAGAGAGAAGAGAAGAAGAGAAGAAGAGUGGAAUUUGCAUAGAGGGGAACAAAACAAAGUUAUGUUGCCCAACACCCCAACUGCAGUCAUUAAUUGUGUUUGAGCUUUGAUGUGUUAGUGACGAUGGUUAUCUCUACAAGGAAGUGAA